AACGGUCAUACCAUGCUGAAUAUACCGGUUCUCGUUAGAUCACCGAAGUCAAAAGCAUCAUUUGUUGGGUGGGUGACCACCUGAGAACACCGCGUGCCGUUG
This is a non-coding RNA of Caerostris extrusa, 102 nucleotides long. Lineage: Eukaryota; Metazoa; Arthropoda; Arachnida; Araneae; Araneidae. The record is from the annotation of a GenBank genome assembly.